Molecule: ribosomal RNA, 483 nt
Filed under: uncultured bacterium
Lineage: Bacteria
Description: partial 16S ribosomal RNA
Rfam family: Bacterial small subunit ribosomal RNA
Source: RNAcentral
GACGAACGCUGGCGGCGUGCUUAACACAUGCAAGUCGAACGCUGAAGCUCAGCUUUUGUUGGGUGGAUGAGUGGCGAACGGGUGAGUAACACGUGAGUAACCUGCCCCCUUCUUUGGGAUAACGCCCGGAAACGGGUGCUAAUACUGGAUAUUCACUGGUCUUCGCAUGGGGGUUGGUGGAAAGGGUUUUUCUGGUGGGGGAUGGGCUCGCGGCCUAUCAGCUUGUUGGUGGGGUGAUGGCCUACCAAGGCUUUGACGGGUAGCCGGCCUGAGAGGGUGACCGGGCACAUUGGGACUGAGAUACGGUCCAGACUCCUACGGGAGGCAGCAGUGGGGAAUAUUGCACAAUGGGCGCAAGCCUGAUGCAGCGACGCCGCGUGAGGGAUGGAGGCCUUCGGGUUGUGAACCUCUUUCGCUCAUGGUCAAGCCGCAACAAUGGUUGUGGUGAGGGUAGUGGGUAAAGAAGCGCCGGCUAACUACGUG